CCCUUGCCUUGCAACAGACCUCUGUGGCCCACUUCCUGCUCCAAAGAGAGGGCCCACACUCCUGGGACACCCCCCGAUUCUCCUGCUUGGGCGCCAGCUGAGGGA
Long non-coding RNA from Lontra canadensis (Northern American river otter), 105 nucleotides. RefSeq lists it as uncharacterized. The record is from RefSeq and is a predicted model, not a curated record. NCBI's taxonomy places the organism in Eukaryota, Metazoa, Chordata, Mammalia, Carnivora, Mustelidae. The transcript is spliced from 3 exons.